Molecule: long non-coding RNA, 732 nt
Filed under: Olea europaea subsp. europaea
Lineage: Eukaryota; Viridiplantae; Streptophyta; Magnoliopsida; Lamiales; Oleaceae
Source: RNAcentral
GUGAAAGCUGCUUCUCUAUAUGUCUGAUUCUAUGUGACACGUGUAACGUACCAACGGCACAGCAAAACAGCUAUAAUUACCUCCUUCAAAUUUCAAUUUUACUCGCACAAAUUUGCUUUUCAAGAAAUACCAUAAUCUAUUUAUUACGAAACGGUCUUAUUUUCAAGAAAUCGAGGAUUUUGUAUGUCAAAUGGAAGAUCGCAAGGAGGUAAACACCUCUCUUUCUGUCGUUCAGAAUUCCCUCUUCUGGGCACAAUUUCUACUUUGUUUAUAAGUUUCCAAGAAACGAAUGGUUUAUGCGUAUCAUUUUCUUGAGUUCCAGUAUGAUUUACAAUUGCAUAUUUGUUGCUUUCACUUCUUGUUGUGGCACUGAUUAAAUGGAAUUCGAUUGAAAUUCUUGGGCUGUAGAUUUCAUAUGUGCAAUCUAAAUUUGCUUGAAGAAAUCCGAAAACGAAAAGGUUUAUGUGAUUCAGUCAAAAAUUCUGUACUUUGACUCGUUAUCUUAAUAAGGGAGGGAAGGAGGAGUUGAAGAAGCUAUUAUCAUUUUUGAUUUCUCUAUGUUGAAAAUGCGUGAAAGAAAUGGAUGCUUCACCUUUCUUUCUUUCUGAAGAGGAUUGGGUUGGUUUGAAAAAUUCAGAAAUAUAAGCUUUCGGAAAAGUCAAUUAAACGAUAAUCACUUCAAUUUAAUAUUAAGAUUGACUAUUAAACACGACAUUGUUUGCUGUAUAUGUG